Transfer RNA from Camelus ferus (Wild Bactrian camel), 72 nucleotides. It matches the Rfam family "tRNA". Rfam says of the family: Transfer RNA (tRNA) molecules are approximately 80 nucleotides in length. Their secondary structure includes four short double-helical elements and three loops (D, anti-codon, and T loops). Further hydrogen bonds mediate the characteristic L-shaped molecular structure. tRNAs have two regions of fundamental functional importance: the anti-codon, which is responsible for specific mRNA codon recognition, and the 3' end, to which the tRNAs corresponding amino acid is attached (by aminoacyl-tRNA synthetases). tRNAs cope with the degeneracy of the genetic code in two manners: having more than one tRNA (with a specific anti-codon) for a particular amino acid; and 'wobble' base-pairing, i.e. permitting non-standard base-pairing at the 3rd anti-codon position. The record is from Rfam. Lineage: Eukaryota; Metazoa; Chordata; Mammalia; Artiodactyla; Camelidae.
GAGGGUAUAGAUCAUUGGUAGAGAGUGUGUUUAGCAUGCAGGAGGUCCUGGGUUCAAUCCCCAGUACCUCCA